This is a long non-coding RNA of Engraulis encrasicolus (European anchovy), 1322 nucleotides long. RefSeq lists it as uncharacterized. The transcript has 6 exons. The record is from RefSeq and is a predicted model, not a curated record. Lineage: Eukaryota; Metazoa; Chordata; Actinopteri; Clupeiformes; Engraulidae.
UUUAUUAUGAUACUAUAAGCUCAGAAAUGAAGUUGAUCGAACAAUUCGAUCGGUGCUAUAAACAUUUAAAUGAACCGAAUAGAAAUCAGAAUAGAAACAUCUGAAUGAUCUUUCUUGGACAUAGCCUACAUUUUGAAGUGACCCUUUGAAUUAAAAAGGUUCCUCACCCCUGCUUUUGAGGAAAAACAUCAAUGUGCUUGGCCACUCUGGUUUUUAAAUUAUUCUGAACUAAAGCAAGGAUUGUUCAAGGAAGUUCAAAACAGACUGUCUCUGGUUAAAUUAGUUCUACACCAAGCCUUUAGGUGGCAGUACAACUAAUUCGCACAAUGCGAAUUCCACACACAAGCCACAAAGAAGCCAUCUACCGCGGUCAACAACACCGACCUAUCUGAACAGAACCACGCGCUGUCUGUGUGGUUUCACUGUUACAAGUUUCUUGGCGACAUGGGGGAAAGUUCCUCACAUACCAACGGAAAAUGGGCUUCACAUACAUGCUGCUGUCUCAUAAUAUGGCGAAGACGAGUCACUUGAAGGCCUAACAGCUCUUAUGAGGAGCAGUCUUGCCAUAGAAGACUGAAAGAAUGAGCUGUAGAAACAACAGGGUGCCUGCUGCAGUAUGACGAGGACGCCCUGAUCAUAGAAGGUCCAGUGUCUUGGCAGGGUGAAAUGCCACUGAUAUCGUGUCCUGCAGGAUGCUGUGUCCUGCAAUCCUGUGUGCUGUGCUACAGACGCGUGUGGAGGUCAACCCGAAAUGGGCACAGUAGCGUGAAAGAGGAUCCUGGCAGGGAGACGGUAGUGUCCUGCAGGAUGGUGAUGGGCAAUCUUACAAGAGACCACAGAAAACUGAUAUAGUCUCCCAGAAGUGAGACUGAGUGCCUGUUGCAGUAUGACGAGGAAGCAGUGACCAGAGACCUUCAGUAGACCCUGCUGGCAUGAUUGGCGGCUGAAGAACAUAAUCAACAGCAAUGUUUAUAAUAUUGUACAUACCUGUAUAGUCUGCACUAAAAUGCUGUACCUGUACUAUUUUUCCUCUUACUUUCAUAUUUACUAUGAAUUGACAACUUUUACUCAAAUCCAUUUUUGUAUGUGCCCUGACUAAAACUAUCCUUAAACCUAACCUGUCAGAGGUGUAAUAACAACCUGCUCUUAGCAAUGUGGCAGCAGUCUACUUGGAUGCAGCGGGGAACAUAGAACCCUUUUUUUGAAAAAGCAUUGUAUGUUUCUGAGUUUUAUGAAUUGUGCCCUUCCCAAACCUAACCUGUCGUAGGGGCCUAUGAAAUCCGUUUUUUUUAAUUAUUAUUAUUUACAUUUUUGAACUUAUU